RNAcentral lists this ribosomal RNA (588 nucleotides) under uncultured fungus. Its description in RNAcentral is "partial large subunit ribosomal RNA". It matches the Rfam family "Eukaryotic large subunit ribosomal RNA", at positions 44 to 650 of the family's 3401-position model. The record is from RNAcentral. Lineage: Eukaryota; Fungi.
CAAUAAGCGGAGGAAAAGAAACCAACAGGGAUUGCCUCAGUAACGGCGAGUGAAGCGGCAACAGCUCAAAUUUGAAAUCUGGCCUUCCGGUCCGAGUUGUAAUUUGUAGAGGAUGUUUCGAACGUGGUCCGGUCUAAGUUUCUUGGAACAGAACGUCAUAGAGGGUGAGAAUCCCGUAUGCGACUGGGUGCCUAAGUUCAUGUGAAACUCCUUCGACGAGUCGAGUUGUUUGGGAAUGCAGCUCAAAAUGGGUGGUAAAUUUCAUCUAAAGCUAAAUAUUGGCCAGAGACCGAUAGCGCACAAGUAGAGUGAUCGAAAGAUGAAAAGCACUUUGGAAAGAGAGUUAAACAGUACGUGAAAUUGUUGAAAGGGAAGCGCUUGCAACCAGACUUGCAUGCAGUUGAUCAUCCGGCGUUUUCACCGGUGCACUCGAUUGUAUUCAGGCCAGCAUCGGUUUUGGUGGUUAGAUAAAGGCCUUGGGAAUGUAGCUUCUUUCGGGGAGUGUUAUAGCCCUCGGUGCAAUGUAGCCUACCGGGACCGAGGACCGCGCUUCGGCUAGGAUGCUGGCGUAAUGGUUGUAAGCGACCC